CGCGAAACCAAGAGAGCGAGGGCCCGAGGCCCCCGAAACCUUCCCCUGGUCCCCACGCCCGCGCGAGCGCUACCUCUCUCGCCGCCUGCGCCGCCGCCUUCUCCCCCCAAGCUUCGGCUCCAGCAAGAUAGCCCGGCCGAUUCUCGCAGCCCCCCAAAAGCCGGCACGCCGACGGCCUUCGUCCUCUAGCGCCGGCGCGUCGCCGCGAUCCCCGCCGGCACGGGCGCCUAUUCCCCCCUUGCUCCUGCUCCCCGCUCGCGCCGCCGUUGCCGCGCGCCUCCAUGAACUUCUCCGACGACUGGCGCUUCCUCUUCCCCGUCUCCUCCGUGUUCAACCCGCCGUCCCUCGCCCCGCCGGACGCCUCCCACGGGCCCCUCUUCUUCACCCCUCUCCCGCCGCCCGUCCCGCUCCUCUCCCUCCCCUUCCCCUUCCCUCCGCCCCUGCACGCCUCCACCACCGGCGACCUCCGCCACGCCCUCCGCUACUUCAUCGCCUCCACCUCCUUCCUCCCCUACUCCGAUCUCAAGUCCCUCUCGGGACCCCUCCUCGCCGCGCCGUCGCCGCCGUUCCCACCACCUUCCAAUCUUCUCGCCGUCCUCCCCUCCCGCUCCUCAAGCUCUCUCGUCCUCUUUUUCCCGUACGGCGAGAAUGCGGAGAAGAUUGCUUUCGCUCUUGUGAACUCCCCCGUUGCGAGCUCUGCGCCCGUUUCGCCCUUCGUUCAGAGGGAUGGGUUCAAGCACCCUGGGCACCGCAUACAGCAGCUUGCUGCUAUUCCUGCCCAGUCGUCCUGGUCAUCGGAGCCGGAUGACAGCUGUGUCGAGGGUUUCCUGCUUGCUGCGACAUUGUACACAGUGAGUUGGUUCAGGGUCGAGUCACGCGAUUCGGGUUCCCCGGUGCUUGUACCGGUGGCCAAGCAGGGGUUUGAUGCUGCUGUCGUGCACGCGUGCUGGAGCAGGCAUUUUCCGUCACAAUGUGCGGUGCUGCUGGAGAGUGGGGAGUUGUGUUGGUUUGAUCUGAAUACACGACUUGGAGGAAAGACGAGCGUUGGUUUUGGCAGCAAUGGUGAAGACUGGGGGGACUGGCUGAGCUGUGCGUAUGGAGCGCAACCGUGGAUGGUGAUCGUCGCAAGCACAAAAGCCGUCCUUUUGGUUGAUUUGAGCUUUGCAUAUCAUGGUGACAAAUACGCCGUGGAAAACGAGCCACACAAGUUUCAGUACAAGGUUCUAGCAAAAAUUGGGUUGCCAGGGUUGUUUGAAACUGAGCCUUUUGACAGGACUGAGCAUUAUAUUGCAUUCUGCAAGGCUGGGUUCGAUGAUUCCCAUAUAUCAGUAGUGACAGAGCGUCACUUGAUUCUCCUUGAUGUGACAAAGCCGUUGGAACCUGUGUUGGCUUGGCAGCAUGGGCUUGAGAACCCAAAUCAUGUUGCCAUGUUUCGGCUAUCUGAAUUGAGACCUUCCAAGGAAUAUGAUUGGGCUUCAAAUUCAGGUUUUGCCAUUUUGGUUGGUUCGUUCUGGAAUGGGGAGUUCAGUUUGUUCUGUUACGGGCCUAAGGAGCAAGGUUGUCUAGAUAAUUCUCAUUUAUACGCUUGGGAUAUUCCUUCGAGGCUUUCUCUGACAGGUCAGCAUUGUGGCUGCAGCAAUGGAAUCAUGAAAGAGAUAUUCUCAACGCCUAUUUCAGUAUAUGAUGGGUAUGCUUCCCAACACCGCGCUAAGUCCAUUGUUGGCUACUAUGUGCUUCCAGAUGACCUCUCAAUAUCGGAGCCAACAUCUGCCAGCUUUGCCUUGAUCCGGCUAACAGCACUGGGGAAGUUGGAAAUGCAACAGUAUCGUGCAUCUCGAGGUCUGCAUGAUGAAAUUGACACCCCAUGUGAUGAAUCAGAACAUGCAUCCAUGGAUAGUAGUUCAUCCAUUUUGAUUGACACUCAAGGUGAAAAUGUCUCCACCAAAUAUCGAUUCUUGAAGUUGCAUUUCCUAUAUGAACAUCUGAAGGGCAAUCUAUGCAGUGCGUUGGCGAAGCAUGGUACUAGUGUUAACGGAGACAGAGAUCAAAUUAUUAUUAGUGAAGAUGUGUUGGCAUUUGCAGAGGAUAACUCUAGAUCCAGCUCGUUGCCAGUUUCAGAUUUCCUAUGUAAUGCUAGCAUCCCCAUGAAUGUUUUCGAAAUUGCAUGUCAGAGCAUAUUGAACAGUCUACCUUCAAAUAUUCUUCAUGUCUCCCUUUCUAAAUACAAGGACAUGCUAAAAUGCGAUACAAAAGAAGGCUUAGUAGAAUAUUUAAAAGUUCCUAGCUGUUCGCCACACAAUGAACUUCGGCCUUUCCUGUUAGCGAAACCAUCAAGCACAUGUGAGAAGGUGACUAGCAAAGCGGUAUCUCAAAAUGCUCUUGUUGGGCCAGUGCUCCCUGUGCAUGUCCUACUUGCAAUGGAAGAGAUGAACAGGGGCAUAGACAGCUCUUCGGAAAGAGAAACUGCAGAAACUGACUUAGUACGCCAUCGAUGUAGUGAGGUGCUUGAAGCCUUUGUUCCUGAAGUAUCCAUUGCUGAGUCCGACAACUUUGAUGGAUGGUUCUCCUCACAAAAGUUGAAUGACAAGAAGUCAUAUCUUGUUUAUGAGCCUCGGAUUGAAAAUAAGUUUACUCUUGAUGAAACUGUUAUAAAGAAGGAAAACGAAGAGCAAAAUGCCGCUGAUCGUACAUCUUUUGAAACGUCUGCAGCACCAUACAAGGAUGAGAACUUCAUGACAUUUGUCUGUGGAAAAGCUGGAACUCUUGAUUCUGGGCCUGAACAAACCACAUCUGAUUUGUUUGAUUUCACCCCAGUGAGGAUGGAUUUUGCUUCCGCAGAUCUAGACAUUCAACCUGCCGAGGAAGAAGUGUACAGAUGCUUGAAGAAACAAUUUUUAAGAUGGCAAAAUAAUUUCAAGCCAUACCAAGAUUUUUGUAACUCAUAUAAAAUACAAAAGCCAUCAUAAUGGCCUGCAGUGCUCCAUUCAGUUGUAGCAGACAAAUCUAAGACAAGAAUUUUGGGACGGAGGGAGUAAUAUAUACGCUCUCAGGUACUUGGCCUGUUAUAGACAUACAGUGCUGUUUGCGUAUUGCAAACACUUCUUGGGAGUAAGAUGCAGUGGGCGGCGCUGUAAAUUAUGAAGGGGGACCAUUGUAUGUCAUGAUUCUGAAGCUUCAUGCUGAUGGAUGAAAGCAAAUCCAGUCACACGAUGGCCUCGUGAUUAAUGCACCUAUUAUAUUGACAGGAUUUGCCACCACUUGAUGUUAAGCAUUGGUGCAUUUAACGGGAAUUUCACGCACUUGAUGUUAAGCAUUGGUGCGCCAUUUAUAGACCGUGGUAGCAAGGCAGCAAGAGUCCAAGCCAUAUUGGGGCAUUACAUAGGCGACAAGGAGGGAGUGUGAUUGCAUCAAAAGUUCAACAUUUUGCUGAGUGACAACUACGAGCAUUAGCGCGGGCGUUCUUUUCUUUUCUUCUUCUUUGUUGAGAGAAAUCGUGUGGCAGUUGUAACCUAACCAGAUACGUGCACUCAUAAAAAAAAACUGUCUCACACGAGUUUUUCUUCAUUUCAGUUGAGCCAAAACCUGCCAUUUGGGCAAAGUUUUUUGGCUGAAAUCUUAGUUUGCUAUGGGCUGCAACGAUAGUGGCGUGUUUGCCUGUUGAACUGUGCAGUGAAGUGUACAUAUUUUCUCUUGAGCAGGGACCAUUGUAUGUCAUGAUUCUGAAGCUUCAUGCUGAUGGAUGAAAGCAAAUCCAGUCACACGAUGGCCUCGUGAUUAAUGGUAUUUAUGUUGUACUUUCGCAUUGGGAAUGCAUGUUUGAGACUGUACUGCAUCAUGCAGACGGUCAUUGUACAGAAUACAGUUAGAACACUCAAAUUUUGUUCUCUCUG
Triticum aestivum (bread wheat) is the source of this 3890-nucleotide RNA transcript. RefSeq lists it as uncharacterized. The record is from RefSeq and is a predicted model, not a curated record. NCBI's taxonomy places the organism in Eukaryota, Viridiplantae, Streptophyta, Magnoliopsida, Poales, Poaceae. The transcript has 5 exons.